UUCCACAGGGCCACUGAGGAUCAUCCAGCAGAUUAGGGUCGUACUCCCGGAGCUCCCCAAAGUCAUUCCCUGAACAAAUAGAACAACUGAGGUUGAGAAAGCAGGGAAAAAACAAAAACUAAUUUGAUUCCAGUAAGGCCAGCCGUGCGAGUGUUGGGCGGUUACAUACCUGUGUCCAUGCUGCUCUGGUUGCUGUUGGCCCGGCCCAGGCUGAGGCUGCGAUGGCUGGCGUUACGGGACUGGGAGAAGGAGGAGGUGGAGUCGAUGGUGUUUCUCCGACCACCCAGAACAUUGGUGGGGUACAAGAACUGGGUGUAGGACACAGUCUGCAGACACAGAUAAAGUGGUUUAUGAUGUAAAUCAAAGAACGUUGGCACAGAAGUUCAUAAAGGGUUUGGAAAAUCUUGAGUACGUGCUAGUACAAGGAGAACAUGCACAUAGAACAAGGAAACAUGCCAGGAGACCGUGGAAGCCUGCUUAGAAAGUAAGAGCUUCUCUAACAAAUUAAAUAUCUAAAAUCUGUUUCCUGCAGUGUAGCUGAAGCUUUGCUCUUUGUUUGGGUCCUGGUGUGAAAAAAUAACGUUUUUGUCUGAACUGAUUUCUUAUGAAAGGAAUACUGUUAGUUUUACUUGUGCUUCCAUCUACCGGCAGUUGACGGUUUACUGUGUUCAGAUUUAAAUUACACUUCGCCGUACACACCACCAGCAAGUCAGUCGCUCUUUAUU
Long non-coding RNA from Cynoglossus semilaevis (tongue sole), 725 nucleotides. RefSeq lists it as uncharacterized. NCBI's taxonomy places the organism in Eukaryota, Metazoa, Chordata, Actinopteri, Pleuronectiformes, Cynoglossidae. The record is from RefSeq and is a predicted model, not a curated record. The transcript is spliced from 4 exons.